This 241-nucleotide ribosomal RNA is filed under the name uncultured Lactobacillus sp. Its description in RNAcentral is "partial 16S ribosomal RNA". It matches the Rfam family "Bacterial small subunit ribosomal RNA", at positions 122 to 354 of the family's 1533-position model. The record is from RNAcentral. Lineage: Bacteria; Bacillati; Bacillota; Bacilli; Lactobacillales; Lactobacillaceae.
UAACCUGCCCAAGAGAUCGGGAUAACACCUGGAAACAGAUGCUAAUACCGGAUAACAACAGAUGAUGCCUAUCAACUGUUUAAAAGAUGGUUCUGCUAUCACUCUUGGAUGGACCUGCGGUGCAUUAGCUAGUUGGUAGGGUAACGGCCUACCAAGGCGAUGAUGCAUAGCCGAGUUGAGAGACUGAUCGGCCACAUUGGGACUGAGACACGGCCCAAACUCCUACGGGGAGGCAGCAGGC